RNAcentral lists this long non-coding RNA (3915 nucleotides) under Brassica rapa (field mustard). RNAcentral's name for it is "long non-coding RNA (BRAP_LNC000055)". Lineage: Eukaryota; Viridiplantae; Streptophyta; Magnoliopsida; Brassicales; Brassicaceae. The record is from RNAcentral.
ACCAAGUCCAUAGAAGAUGAAGGCUAUUUCAUUAUCAUACUAUUCAUGCAUACACUAUUAAAGUAAUGAUACACACCUAAUAUGUGGGUUCCCCAUUCUGUAAUAUAUAUACAUGCAUAUAUGUUUUUACAUGCAUGAACGUAUAUGUCGACACUUGUUUCUGGUGUAUUGAGUUGGAGGUAAGUACACGCUAUAAUUACUAUACAAAACAUAUGUGUGUGAUGUAUCAUGACAUAAAUCACAAAGCUGUAUAAAUAUGUAGUAUAGUUUUAUAUGGGGAAGCUCCUAUAGAUCAUCAAAUGUAGAUAAUUAGUUGGAACAAUAAUAAGGGGGUCCAAAUAUUGGUCGGAUAUGAUGGGAUCCUAAUCAAAGGUAAAAGUGUUCUGUAUAUCAAAACUAUACAAAAUUUACAAAAAAAAAAACUAUCUAUAUAUUCUAUCUAAAGUUCAAGAAAUGUGAACUACUAGCCCAAGAUCAGAACUAACUAGUAUCCACUCGAAAAGAGAUACAUUUUAUAAUGUAAGAAAAAUUCAAUGCAAAAUUUUACAUUUUCUAUUUUUAGUCUUGCAUAGCUUAGUAGCAAGCAGAAGUAAAACAAAUGAAACAACCCAUGUUUAUAAUAAAAGUAAAAGCAUUUGGUGUUGCAAAUGAAUUAUGUAAUCUUCAAAUUUAAUUUCACAAAAGGAGGAAAAUAAUUUUCUUCUCAAGAUUCGGUGGAUGUGUUGAAAACCCGAGCAGAUUUAUAAAGUUUUACUAGGAAUACACGAACGUAGGCAGAAAUUUUAUAUCCCUCUCUCUCUAAACAAACCUCUAGCCUCUAUCUAAAAUACAAACGACCGUAGCUUCCUCCGGUGUUCGGCUCUCCCGCCGGCGCCGGAGGCCCCGUUUCCUUUCUUCUUUUCUCUACCCCCUCUAGCCCCUGCGUUGCGAUAUGCUCGACGUCUCUGUGUGUCGGUGGGUCUCGUGCUCUGUGACUUAGAUCUCGGCGGCCUUGGGUCUAGAUCCGGUGGCUCCUGCUCUCUAUUGGAGCGUCGGCGAGCUACCUGUGGUGGUUGGGGCGGUGUAGGGUCGGCUUUUAGGGAUUUCGGUGGUGGUGAUUUUUCAGAUCUGUUCUGCCUCCAGCCUCCACCUUUGAGAUUUGCAAAAUGGUCGGUUUGGUUUCGAUUCUCCAGUUUUUCCGAGGUUCUUGUGGUGUAGUGUCUCGGAGCUCUGGUUUGUUGGAUCGUGGAGUGGCGUUGAGCUCGUCUCCUCCGUUGGUGUCUCGGUGUGGCGUUGAGCUCGCCUCCUCUGUCUCCUCUGUCAGGUCAGGCACCGGUGUUUCUUCUUCGGUGAUUCGCGCAGUGCUCUGGUGGUUUCGUGUGUCUCCUCCUUUUUCUCUGGUCUUGCGUCUGUCGGCUCCGGGUGUGCUUCUUUGUGGCGUCGUCUAUGGCGAAACAGUUGCUCUCCAGGUUGUUGGCCCUCUCUUUCUCCUCUCCGUCAUUUGCAAUGGCUCCGUACUAGUUGCGUCCUCUCUCUGGUUUCGUCUAACCUUCAGGUCUUCGGUGAAGCGAGACUCCGAGAAGCAUUAGAACUGUGGUCCGAUUCUCGGAUGCAGAAGCUACCAAGCUUUCCGAGUGCUUGUGGUGGUCAACAGGUCUCGAAAAUCUUGUGGACUGUAGCUGUUUGACCUUGGCAUCCCAGUGCCAUUUUCUGGUCGAUUGGCCAUGUGAUGGUAGCUUAGGUCUUUUUCUUUUGGCUUGUAGGAUUGUUAAUUUAGUAAGUUGUCAUUGCUGCUAUCUCAAGUCCUGAUUUUUAGUUUAGCUAUCUUGGUAGUGUCGAGUGGGGUUACUCGAUUACUUUUCGGAUCUAGGUUUAAGAAUGUCUUAGGAUUUCGCUGGGUUCGUGUCAUGAUGCGUCGUUGGUCUCUGCUGGGUUCGUGCUGAGGAUAGGUGUGUUAGUCUCUGCUGGGUUCGUGCUGAGGAUAGGUGUCGUUAGUCUCUGCUGGGUUCGUGCUGCGAGUCUAUACGGUCUUGUGAUUUUAUGGUUCUCAAAGCGUCGUUAGGAGACCGGGAUUCGGACUUUGAAGCAUCGUCGGGAGACCAAGAUUCAUACCUUGAAGCGUCGUCGGGAGACUAGGGUUCGUGCGGAUUGAUGUCGUCGGUUAUCCUACCCGCUUUUGUGGUUGUUGCUCAGAACUUUUAGUACUGAAAUUGUUUCAGUUCUAAUGUUUGUUCUUUAAGCCUUUUUUCCACCUUUUUUUUGGGGCUUAAACAACUUAUGCUUUUUCAUUCUCAUCAAUGAAAUAUUUACCUUUUAGCAAAAAAAAAAAAAGAAAAAAAAAAUACACGAACGUAGGUAUAUAUGCAUAAAUAGAUAAGGUGAUUCUUUUGCUGAAGUAUGUUCCUCGGGGAUUGCUCCAAUUCUCUGACAGCUAUCAUUAAUAUCUCAUUAUUCAAGUAUACUAUUGAAUUCUAUGGGCGCCCUUCUUUUAUGUCUCCAAAUUCAAAAUCAUACAACAAUCUAGUACUCCCGAUAAGGUUUUUUUUAGAAUUUUCAUACUUAUUAACAAUAUAAUAAAUAUUUACUAUUUAAUUUAUUAUUUAUUUUAAUACACUUUUUAAUAAUUAUUGACUAAUAAAAUUUAAUCAAUUCAGAUAUUUACAAUUAAUUUUUCAAAAGUAUAUAAAAAAUUUAUUUUUAUGUAACAAAAAUAAACUUUAGAAAAUCUUACUUUCGAUAACAGAGAGAGAGUAUCUUGUUCAAAAUGUAACUAAUUUUUAUUUUUAUUUUACAAAAAGUGGUUUGAUUUAGUCUUUUAAAUGCUUAAAUUUUGAUUUUUUUUUUCAACUACUUAAUUAGGAAAAAAAUAUAUUAAUCGAUGUGUUUGUAGUUUGUACUAAUUGUUUCCUUCUUGGAUCAAAUACUUCAAGCGAAGAAAAUGAUUGACUCGACUUAUGAUAUUAGAGUGUUGGAUUUCGUGAUUGGAUCGGUUCACAUGGCUGAUGAUGUUUGACCACACCUGUCUAACCAAAUGCGUGUUUAGUUACUUGUUUCAGGUUAUGACGUUAUAUAUUUCAUUCGAAGAAAAAUCGCAGUUGUAACAAUUGAAUACUAGAACAGCGAUGUAUUCUUUAUUUACAACGAACAAGAGAAAACAUCGUAGCCAUCAAAUUAUUAUAGCCUAAGGAGAAAGAGAGCGUAAAGGGUGUCAUUUCAGAUACAUUAACUAGGACCGACCGUUUUUGGACACGAAUAUAUGGCUUAGCUGAAUCAGAAUCAAUUCUAACCGGAUAUUUAUCAGUGCAAUGUUCCCAGUGAGAGUGACUUAUUUGUUGAAACCUUGACAUUGCAUAGAGCCACCCAAAUUUAAACUCUGACCCUAAAGCAAUCUGCCAAACUUUAUUUACCUUCUUCAUUCUUCAUGUUGACUCUAUGCAUCAAUGCAUGCCAAUUCAUACCAUAUUGAGCUAGACCAAAGUAUUCCAAAUAUGUGUAACUGAUUUUGGGCUCCACAUCUGUCGGUGCUAGGUCUAAGUUCUUCUCUAGCGAAUUGAUCACAGCUCUGUCUCCAGCAUGAAUACAACAAUGGUCAAUAGUAAUGCUUGAAUUUAAUUUUCAACAGUUUUUUUUUUUUGGCGAUAAGUAAAAAAAGAAGUUUAUACUUGGGUCGUUUUUUUUUAUCAACGAGGCUUGUUCAAGCCUGCAUAUCGAUCUAGGAAACAAAAGGAAUCUUUCAUUACGUGAAAGUGGGCUUGGGUUAGGCCCAAGUUUUCGUUGACACCCACAUAUUUUGUUCUGCAGCUUAUUAUUAUAUUGCAUGGAAUCGGCCCAUUACUACGAGAUAUAACAUUUUCAUUCUUGGGAAAUGGGCUAUCUUUUCUCGAGAGAAUUCAAGAAAAUAUAUUUUAAAACAGCUCUAUUCUUUUAAGAUCCCUA